AUGGGCGCGUUCGUGGCCAUGGAUCGCCUGGGAAGUCGUCACGAGAAGGCACCGCCGGCGGGGACGAAGCGCGAGCUCCCGAGCCUGGAGCCGCGCACUGCCCCUCCCCUCAGCCUCAGGUCGCUGCUCGGCUCGGUAUAUGGCAGACGCCAGGAGUUCGCUGAGGGGUCUCAGGCGGCAAUCGCGUCGGCGGAACAGUUGAUCCGGGAGAUCGACGAGGCCCUGGCAAAGCAGGGCGGCGACAUGGAGCAAGAUUGCAGACAAAAAAUUGAGCUCAAGUUUGGAGUACUGAUGCGUGCUCCUCCAUCGCCGCUGCUACGGCAUCAGAGGCCAUGGUCUUGCCGUGUUGGGGAUGGAAUUUGGCAUUGGCAGCGGGUGUGGACGACGGAAAAAAUGAGGCGUAGGCGUCGUGCCCUACUAUCCGCCAACGAUGGUCAUGCUGCUGGACUAGGCCUGAUACCUAGAGCCCUUGUGAUCUCAAGGAAAAGAGGUUGGUCGCGGGUUGUUGCGUGCGUGGGGUUUGUUCUGAUCUCCAUCAACUCCACAAUUCCAGCUUCCCAUCCCAGCUUCUCACUCCACACAGCGAGACAACUCUGUUCGGCAUCGAUCGCUGGCUUCUCCCAUCGCCACUAUGUGCUGGCAGCAUGGGUGGCCUGCCUUAGCGCCAUAAUGGGCCGGUUGGAGGCAGCCCAGCUUGGCUUUUCAGCAAGAGAAGGAGCACAGGUCGACUCGGAGACAUUGUCGGGGUCGACGAGAAGAGAAGAGAUGGACGCGGUCGUGGCCGUGGACCGCCUGGCCCGUCGUCAACAGAAGCUACAGCCGGCGGGGACGAAGCGCAAGCUCCCGGAGCCGCGCACUCUCCCUCCGCUCAGCACGCGGCUCAGCUCGGUAAACGCCAGGCAUCGGGAGACCGCCGAGAAGUUUCUGGCGGACAUUGCGUCCGCGGACGAGGUGAUCCGAGAGCUCGAGGAGGCGCUGGCGAAGCAGGGCAACGACAUGGAGCAAGGCUACCGAUUCCAGGCCCUUCUCCUUUCUAAUCGGAGGUGCAAGCAGAAACAAAAUGAGCUGAAGAUUGCAGCUUAUCACUCAUGCCAAGUGAUGAAGAAGAUUGUAGUUCCAAUGAAAAGACCGGGUUUGCUGACUUUUUGUUUAAACGAGUGCAUGCAUGCAUGUCUGGUGCGUGGCAGCGUGAGUACAUACUGCGUCGGUUGGUCGUUCUUUAUUUUUGGCACAGGGGCGCCGGUCGAUCAGACGCAGCGUACCUACGCUAGCUACUUCAACACAAAGCCGUCUCGCCGGCUCAUGCUCAUGCAUCGCCGGGGCUGUCGCGCGCCUAGCUACCGGCCAUCACAUCACGCCGUCCCUCACCGUUCUUGGGAACCUGAAGUGAAGGUCUCCAUGGACGUCAGCUCAGCCACGUACAACGUCGGCUUGGCCACCGGCGAGCGAGCAUACCUCUCCGCCGGGGCAUCCGCGCUGCGCUCCACCUACUUCCUCUUCUGCAUCAUGUAUGCAACGCACGUCGCUGGGUGGGUCUCCAACUCUCCAUACUGCAGCACACCCAUUCGCCAUGGCACAUCUGUGAGGGCGCGAGGCGGCCGCAGCGUUGCAGCCAUCGAAGCUGCACCAGGCAUCUUCUUCCUUCCUCGCUACCCAUGGUGCAGCUACUCGGUGCCUUGUAUUCUUCCUACGAUGCCUUCGUGCCGCAGCAGAUCAGACUAA
This 1722-nucleotide ribosomal RNA is filed under the name Triticum aestivum (bread wheat). RNAcentral's name for it is "partial small subunit ribosomal RNA". The record is from RNAcentral. Lineage: Eukaryota; Viridiplantae; Streptophyta; Magnoliopsida; Poales; Poaceae.